Molecule: long non-coding RNA, 922 nt
Organism: Betta splendens (Siamese fighting fish)
Lineage: Eukaryota; Metazoa; Chordata; Actinopteri; Anabantiformes; Osphronemidae
Exons: 4
Source: RefSeq, a predicted model, not a curated record
AUGGUCAUGGGACUGAAAAUGCCGAGCUGGCCGGCCAUCUGGUGCAUCCUGCGCAGGGUCCUCUCCUUAUCGGUGUCUGCAAACUUGACCACCAGACUCGACGAGGCCCCCUACGAGCACAGGGGGUUCACAGGGCCACGAAAUGUGUAGACGGAGAAAUACACAACGGUAAUUGAGGGAUUACAAGUCAACUAAACCAGUGAAACGGCAUUAUGCGCUGAUGUGUGCAUUACUGCGACACAAAGACAGCGGUGGAGUCUACCAGCAGUGGGGGAAUCGGAUCCUGUUCCUGUCGCUGCAGAGUUCAGCUGAGACACGCGGCUGCUGCCCGCUUGGCCACACAAAUGAGCACCUCCGUAAUCAAUAAGGCCACGCUGCCUGCUCCCCACUGCUGCCGUUGUAGCUGGGGUGUCACGUCCGUGUUCCCGUGGUCACGCCUCGCGCAGCAGGACUUCUCACAACCACCAGCUGAGCUCGAGACAUCGACGGACGGACGGCAAUCGUGGGAGGAGCUGUGUGGCUUUAAAGUCACCGCUGGACAGGUUUUACUAAGAAUGGAUCCUGACCCUUGUCUGUAGCAACAGAGGUGAAAAAUACAAUCUAGCAACAGCCAGACGUUCUCCCCUCCAUCUAUCCGAUUUCCACUGAGGUGUCACUGUUACAACUUAAAUGGGCAGUGGGCUUUUUUUCACAGGCCCCCUGCGGUGUGUUAAUGUUUUGGGACAAAAGUCUCAUCUCGGUCCUGGCCCGAGGAGAUCUAAUGGCGGCUUUACAAGGCUAAUUAACAAGCCAUGAGCGAGGUAAUGAACUUUCCAAAUGUGCUGGCAAACGCAAAAAUAAAUUACACCCCAGUGAAGGCAUUAAAGGAAGUGUGAGUGUACUCCUGAGCCCUCCUUUGGGAGCGCCACAGCGAGAAAAUGAA